AUAGGAAUAAUGCACUUCCUAAUGAAACAAAGACUCUGACGGGACUCUUAUGGGGAUAAGAAAAAAGAAAAAUGAGUGAGCAAGACACGACUCAGAAUUAGGGGAAAGAGAACUUGACAUUGCGUAAGCAGGUAACGAUUCAAAACUGGGGAAAAGAGUUCCAAAGGAAAACAAAUCCAAUGGAAAGACUCAAGCUGACUCAAAGAUGCCUGUGUUGGGGAAACA
Molecule: long non-coding RNA, 225 nt
Filed under: Lathyrus oleraceus (garden pea)
Lineage: Eukaryota; Viridiplantae; Streptophyta; Magnoliopsida; Fabales; Fabaceae
Description: Pisum sativum (pea) long non-coding RNA (PSAT_LNC034138)
Source: RNAcentral